Molecule: RNase P RNA, 364 nt
Filed under: Chitinophaga caeni
Lineage: Bacteria; Pseudomonadati; Bacteroidota; Chitinophagia; Chitinophagales; Chitinophagaceae
Description: Bacterial RNase P class A
Rfam family: Bacterial RNase P class A
About the family: Ribonuclease P (RNase P) is a ubiquitous endoribonuclease, found in archaea, bacteria and eukarya as well as chloroplasts and mitochondria. Its best characterised activity is the generation of mature 5'-ends of tRNAs by cleaving the 5'-leader elements of precursor-tRNAs.
Source: Rfam by way of RNAcentral
ACUACAAACCGUGCUGCCGUCGUUCCGGCGCAGGCCGGAAGGGAGGAAAGUCCGGGCAGCAAAGAGCAACAUACCACUUAAUAGGUGGGAUCUACCUUGUAGGUACAGACAGUGCCACAGAAAAUAACCGCCCCCCGGGGUAAGGGUGAAAAUGUGGGGUAAGAGCCCACGUCGUGGUAUGGCAACAUGCCGCGAGGGUAAACCUUAUGUGCUGAAAUGCCAUGUAAACGAUCGCCCGAGGGUAGCUCGCCCAAUUGUCGAUCGAGGGUAGGCAGAUAGAGCUGUAGAGUGAUUUACAGCCUAGAUAAAUGGUAGCAGUCUAACUUGUUAGAUACAGAACCCGGCUUAUAGGUUUGUAGUUUUU